This is an RNA transcript of Pan troglodytes (chimpanzee), 8100 nucleotides long. It is a transcript of the gene named C2 domain containing 3 centriole elongation regulator, with no coding region annotated. The transcript has 34 exons. The record is from RefSeq and is a predicted model, not a curated record. NCBI's taxonomy places the organism in Eukaryota, Metazoa, Chordata, Mammalia, Primates, Hominidae.
ACCGUUUUCCGGAGACUGUUAGAGGAAGAGUCGCUUUUUCCUGCCUCCCAGGCUGCCCAGCGGCGCCGGUUGCCGGGGAACGCAGGCGCCGUGGGGAGGGAUGGCGGGAGGAUACUGCUUAGGUGCUGGAGACGGAGUUGAGCUGGUGAAGAAGAGCUCGGGCUCAUCAUGAAACAACGAAAAGGCCAAGGGUCUGGGGGCAGCCGUGGGCGCAAAAAAAGAGGUUUAAGUGACAUUUCUCCAUCUACAAGCCUGCCACCUCUGGUUGAAGGCCAGCUACGCUGCUUUCUAAAACUUACUGUUAAUAGAGUCAUAUGGAAGAUUGCAAAGCCUCCCACUUGUGUACUUGUCCGAGUGAGAUGGUGGGGAGAAACAUCAGAUGGAACCCUCUUUUGUCCCAGGGAUGCAUUGCAGACUGAACCAAAAGCUGUGAGAACAACUACACGUUAUGCUAUUCGUUGUGGUCCAAAACAGUUUACCUCUUAUCUAACAGAUAUGGCUGUGCUGGUGCUGGAAGUAAUCACCAAACUUGACGGUCUUCCAAUUGGUAGAGUUCAGAUCAAUGGACUAGCUCAACUUUCUCCAACCCAUCAAAUCAAUGGAUUUUUUACCAUUGUUUCAUCAACGUCUAAGAAACUUGGAGAACUCCAGGUCUCACUUGCCCUGGAACCUCUGUCAGAAACUUACGACAGCUACCAUCCACUUCCUACCACUGACGUGACAGAAAAUGUGCUUUUAUCUAAGCAGGGAUUCAGAGAGAAUACUGAACCCAGCAGUACCCAGUUUCAGGUUCCAUCAAGGCCUCACGACAUACAUACCAUCAAAAUUGAUGGAAAAGAGUUAGCAGCCAACAGCAGUAGAUCAACCACUCCGAGGGGAAAAGACCAUGUAUACUUUGCAGAGAACCCUGAUACAAUAAAGGAUUCUUCCUUUGGACUACAGCACAGUCUUAAUUCAGGACAGAGUUUAGAGUCUGUAACUCUGAAAGGCAGAGCUCCACGGAAGCAGAUGUCCCUUCUGAACAGUUCUGAAUUCCAGCCUCAAAUUAGAACAGUUGCCAAGAGUCACAGUGACUCAUGCAUUCUUUCUUCAAACAACCUCCCUACCAAGGACCUUCUUUCAGCUCUGUUAGAACAAGGCAAUAAACUGCGUAAUGCCAUGGUGAUUUCUGCAAUGAAAUCAAGCCCAGAGACCAGCAUGUUGUUGGACCAAGUUCAUCUUCCUAUUAAUGAAGAUUCUCUUAGAGCAUCAACACAGAUCAGAGCCUUUUCUAGGAAUCAGUUUAAAGACCACAUUGAAGAUCACCUCCUCCCUUCAACUGAGAAUACAUUUUGGAGACAUGACACAAAAGCUGAUACCAGAGCUAUACAGCUGCUAUUAGGCAGUGCUGAAUUAUCCCAAGGCAAUUUCUGGGAUGGGCUAGGCUCUCCUCCAGAUUCCCCAUCUCCUGGGAGUGAUGUGUAUUGCAUCAGUGAGCUGAAUGACCCUCAGUAUGACCAGAGUCUUCUGGAGAACUUAUUUUAUACAGCACCUAAAUCUGAUACCAGCAUCAGUGAUUUCCUCAGUGAAGAGGAUGAUAUCGUCCCUUCUAAAAAAAUAAGCCAGUCAACAGCUCUUGCCAGAUCAUCUAAGGUUCUGGAGUCAAGUGAUCAUAAGCUGAAGAAGAGGUCAGCAGGCAAGAGAAAUAGAAAUUUGGUUGAACAACAGAUGCUCUCAGAAACUCCAGAAGAUGCCCAAACGAUGACACUAAGUGUGGAUAGACUGGCCCUUUUGGGUAGAACACAUUCAGUCAGAAUCAUCAUCGAAACCAUGGGAGUUCCUCCAGAUAGUCCUCAGAUGACCCCUGGCAAAAAAAGCUAUGCUGGUCCACCACCUAAGGUGACUACAGCAAAAAAGCGCACUUUCUUUGUAGAAUAUCACUUUCCUGUGGGCUUUUCGGAAAGCGGAUUGGGAAAGACAGCUUUGAUCACUGAGGUUGUUCGACUCGCCUCCAGUAAAAUUACAGAUGGAAAGGUGAAGUUCCAGCAGCGAUUUGUGUUUCCAGUACAGUUUGGUGGCCCAAUGAUAGAGCACUGGUGGAAUUCCAACCUCACUUUCAAAAUUUAUGUAAAGAAAACUCCACAGAAAAAGCCAGAAGUCAUUGGAUCUGCGUCACUUUCUUUGCGAGCUGUCAUUCAAUCAGAGCUGCUUUCUUUCAGUGAUCAGCUUCCAGUGCAACAAGAAAAUGGUCAGUCUCCAUUUGGCCCCCUCAAGGUAACCAUGGAGCUUAUUACAGAUAACAAAGAUUUCACUGGUAUCAAUACUAAGUUAAGUGGCAACACCCAUUAUACCCCACUUUGUGCUCCUACAAGUCCAAAUAAGGCACUACCAGAACUUAACCAAGAUAUGACCUGUACCAAAAAUCCACAAAACUUAAAUCAAAUUCAUGAGGAAACUGCAAAGAAAGCACAGAACUUGGUGCUCCCCAACCGAAAGUCACCAAGCCCUGUAGCACCACAUCCUUCAACCUUCGUAGCUACGCCAGCCUCCCAUAAUUUAGUCAAUCAGACAAAUGGGACAACAAAAGAGAGUGCUUUGCUGUUGCAUGUGCUGUUGAUGGUGCCAGAUGGGAAAGAUUUUAUUAGUGGAGAAUCUGAGAAACAAUCACCAUGCAAUGUUUAUUUAAAUUGUAAACUCUUCAGCACAGAGGAAGUCACCAGAUCUGUCAUCGCAUGGGGCACAACACAGCCGGUCUUUAACUUUUCUCAGGUGAUUCCUGUCUCUCUGUCUUCCAAAUACCUGGAAAGGCUUAAGAACAAUGUGAUGGUAAUUGAAACUUGGAAUAAGGUGCGGAGCCCAGGACAGGACAAGCUGCUCGGGCUGGUGAAACUUCCCCUCCACCAGUUUUACAUGUCAUUCAAAGAUGCUAAGAUUUCUCGCCUGCUGCUGGAUGCCCAGUACCCAGUUGUUGCUGUCGACAGCUAUAUGCCUGUGAUUGAUGUGUUUUCAGGCCACCAAAAUGGGAGUCUUCGAGUCUUUUUAGCUAUGGGUUCUUCAAAUCAAAUAAUGGCACUACAAAGAUUAAAGAAUGAAGAAGGAACACUCCCUCCCUUCAGCCCUAGGCCAGCCCAUUUCCUGGACCAGCCAACUGCAGCAUCUGUUGCUAUGGCAGAGGACCGAGGAAAUGGACUGAUGGAGCACUGCUUUGAGAUCCAUAUAGAGAUGGUUAAAGGGCUAGCCCCUCUUCAGGCAACAGUCUGGGGAGAAGCAGAUUGUUAUGUCCAGUACUACUUUCCAGUUCAACACUCUCAAUCCAGUGUGCUGAAAGGACCUGAGUUCCUUGAAAAUGGAAUUACUCUGAAGCCCUUCAGAACUGCAACCACACUCUGUGUUCCGGAUCCCAUCUUUAAUAGUGAACACCAUCACUCUCUCCUGUUGCCAGCUGAGGUUCCAGUGCAAAGGCUCCUACUAAGUGCCUUCUCUGCACAGGGCCUCAUGCCUGGAGGUGGAGUCCAGUUUGAAAUCUGGUGCAGAUACUAUUAUCCUAAUGUGAGAGACCAGAAGGUCGCCAAAGGAACCUUGCCAUUAUCAAGGAUCUGUGCUAUGGUAACCACCCAGCAUCGUGAGGAUGUGGGAAUACAGACCUUUAAUCUCCUUUUAACCCCCAGGAUUGAGAACAGGAAAGAAUUGAGGAACCAGUCAUCAGGUUUACUGGAUGUGGGCCUAAGGUACAGGCGUAGUCCAAGAACAGCAGAGGGAGUUCUUGCUGCCCGAACUGUUUCCAUCUCAGUCCAGAUUAUCAGAGCCUGUGGUCUGCAAGCAGCAGCCAAGGCUUUGGCUGAACAGGAACCCGCUCUACAGUUUAGUGCCACAGUCGGGGUCAAUGCCUCUGUCACCACUCAUCUCUCCUUCCUGCCCCAGGGAGAACAGCGCCGAACCCACCCUGUGGCCUGUUCUUUCUGCCCUGAGUUCUCCCAUCAUGUUGAGUUCACAUGUAACUUGGUGACUCAGCACUGUAGUGGAGAGGCCUGUUUCCUAGCAGAGUUGUUGGAGUUUGCAGAAGUUAUUUUUGCUGUCUAUCAUGAAAAUACCAAGUCAGCAAGUGAUAUAAUCAGUAUUGAGUCAUGCAAAGAGUAUCUGCUUGGAGUAGUAAAAGUUCCAACAAAAGAGCUGCUGAUCAAGAGAUCUGGGAUCACAGGAUGGUAUCCUAUCAUUUUACCAGAAGACGGGGGCCUACCUCAUGGCCUGGAGCUCAUGCAGAAGAUUGUGGGUGGUCUGGAGCUUUCGGUUUCCUUCACGCAUCGUGGAGAUAGAGAACGGGUGUUGGAAGCUGCUGAGCAUUUGGGCUGGAGCUUUGAGAACAGCCUGAAAGAUUUUGUCAGAAUGGAUGAAGGGGAGCCAGCCACUGUCACCAUCUCCACCCCAAGGCUGUGGCUGCCCAUCCAUUGUGUGCUGCUUGCUGGCCACAACCACAUUCAUAAGAAUACAUAUUGCUACCUUCGCUACAAGUUCUAUGGUCAUGAAGCCUUUUGGACCCCUCUCAAGAAGCCUAAGGAAUCUGUUAACAAAAAGCAGAUUAUGGUCACUUUCAAGGCAUCCAAAAGAGCAGAAGUCACCAGGGGCCCAUCACUGCUUUGGUACUUCAGGGAGGAGAGGCUAGAGAUCCAAGUGUGGCGAGCUUAUGGCAAUGACAGUGUGGAGAGACCCCAUCAGACAGACAGCUGGAUUGGCUCAGCCUAUGUGGACCUGGCCAGACUUGGGGAGAGGUCAGCGAGGACGCUAACUGUCAGUGGUGUGUAUCCUCUGUUUGGACGAAAUGCUUCCAACCUCUCAGGAGCUGCCUUGCGAGUUCAUGUGGUUCUUUCCUCUCUUUCCUCACACCUUGAGCCCACUCAUGAGCUGGACUCCAUGGACUGCAGCAGCCACAGUGAGUCUGAGCAGCUCCCCAGAAGGAAUGAUGAGGUCCAGCUCUCUCCACCAGAAGUCAUCUCCUGCCACCAGAAGUCUCCUGCCUCCACCCAGGUCCCCUGCAGCAGCACCACAGCUGAAGUCUGCCUGACCCAGGAGGGCCCUGCUGAUUUGGAUGGAACGUUUGCAGUCAGCAUCCUAGUAGAAAGAGCAAUGCACUUGAGCUUGAAAGGGAGCCCCUUGACAGAGCGGAAAGUAUCGAUACCCAGUUGUUGUGUAUCCUUUGCAACAGCCGAUGAGUCAUCUCCUGUAUACACCCAAGUGGUUGAAAACACAGAUUCCCCCAUCUGGAAUUUUCAACAGCAGUCAAGGCUAUCAAAAGAGCUGCUUCUGGACCCACAACAAACCCUGGUCUUCAAAGUUUGGCAUAAAGGAGAUGAGGAGAGGGUGAUUGGCUUUGCCUCGGUGGACCUCUCCCCACUUCUCUCUGGCUUCCAGUUUGUCUGUGGCUGGUACAACAUCACAGACUUCAGUGGAGAGUGCCAGGGUCAGAUAAAAGUUGCUGUCUCCCCUUUGGAGAGUUUGAUACACUUCAAAGAAGAAAGGCAAGCAAGGCGUGGAGUGGAGACCUCAAAAUCACUGAUCCCAAUAUACAGUCCCUUUUCCUUCCCUGCCUCUGAUAUGUGUGCUGCAUUCUCCAGCCACAUGGCAAGGCAGACCCUAGACCAACUUGCUCAUGCCUCCUCAAAGGAGCUUGAUUUCUCCUCUCCUGGGAGAAGUGAUACCACAAGAAGCCAAGCAUCACGCCAUGAAGAGCAUGUGCAGAACAUUCGCCGGUUUCAUGAAUCCCUGCAUCUUCAGGGAGAGGCACCCUUGCCAUGUGAUGACAAACCGACCACAUCACCUUUGUCCUCCCAAACCUCCAUUCUGACUUCUCUCAGGAAGAAUCUGAGUGAGCUUGAUCAGAUUCAGAGGUACUUCAGCCAGAAGCUCACCAAGCCUUUCCUACCCCUCAGCCCUCAGACUCAAACGGCCAUCUCACAGCACCAGGAGAGCUGUAGGGACCAUCUUGGGCCAGGUGCCAGCAGCCUAGACCCUGGGAGCCAGUGUAUCCUGGAGAAAUCCAGUAACCUGGUGUUGCAAGUCAGCUCCUUAAUCACAGAUCUGCAGACUAUCACCAGGGAUUCGCAAGCAGCUUUGAGUUCUCACCGAGCCAGGAGUAGAAGCAACAAGGCCACCACCCUCCCAGAUGCUCAGGACACAGAAGCACUGCAAGAACGAUGCACAAUGCCAGAUGAGCCAUUGGCAAGAGCUCCAGAUAAAGGCACAGAUUCCCCACCACCCCCUCCUCUCGAAGAGACUUCAAAUGGAGGAAGAAUGCUCCAUGAGUCCCUGAGGCAUGCAGUACCCAUUACAAGGAUGCAGAGCAGUGAAGACACUGAGGCAGGCCCAGCCUACAGUGAUGAGGACUAUGAAGAAGACAUCAUUGAGCCCAGGACCUUAAAUGAGAUCACCACGGUGACAGACAAAACUAGCCCUUGGUCUAGUGUCAUAUCAGACACUAGUGAGGUCAUCAGCCCUCAGCCUGACAAGGUGCAGAGGGAAGGCCCCUCUUGUCCUUCUCCAGGGCCUUUCUGCAGAGAGGAGCUUAUGGUCAAAAGUAGCUUUCUCUCCAGCCCAGAAAGGGCUGUCAACCCCCACCUGCCUAGGCAGGGUUCUCCUAGCCAAAGUCUUGUUGCUUGUGAGUGUGAGGCCUCUAAGGCCAGGGUUGGUGGCGAGUCUGCCUCAGCCAACCCUCAGCCCAUCCCAUGCCCAACACUCUCAGGAGCUCAACAGAGCAGCACGUUUGUUGGAUGGAGCUCACCACAGACAGAUCAGAACAAGGAGCCCAAGUCAGAGGCCCCAGCUGAGAAUGAAGCUGCCACCAGUGAGCUCGGUGACUCUGCUGAUAGCUUCAAGAAGUUGCCGCUAAAUCUAGCCUCCCAGAGCAGAAGGGAAAACCAUAAGGGACCACCCAUCGACUCCUCUGACAUCAGGCAGAGGCAGGUGACAACUGGAUCAGAGACGUCCACAAAGCAGAGCCUCCUGCUCCCAGGGCCCAUUGUGGUGCCCAACUUCUUUUUGCCUCCCCAGCAGUUGGAGGCUUCCCUGCGGAUGCUUUCACUCUCAGCAACUUUGCCACCAGCAGCCACAACAGAUCAGGUCUACAGCCAGAAGUGUGGGAGUAUUUCAGAGGAAUGGAUGAUACAUUUGAGGGUAUCCCUGCUCUGGCCAAUUUCGCCUCUGGCCAACCCUACCAGGGUUGUGUGUUAGGGUAGCAGUCCUGAUGAAGGAAGAAUCUUCACUACUAGUCAAGAUGGUUUCUAAACCCUAUUGAGGUCAACAAAAGCAAAAUGCUGCUGAGUGACAAGAGCGAAGCCACCAGGGGAGCUCUCUCCCAAAGGCCUUGUCGCCCCAGACCUAACUCGCUCCCCCCCAACCUGCCUGAGGAAGAAACCCGCAGGAUUGCACGGAUAUUUUCUUCUCAGUACUCCCAGAAAGACUGACGCAGCCUGAGGGGCUGGGGGGAAGGAGACACCUGCCCACCCUCCCUCAGCUUUGUCCAGCUUGCAGGAGGCACCAGGUCUGGCUCCUUCAGGGCUGUCACAGUCCUGAAACCACCACUUGCCUAGGCCACGGAUGCCUCAAGAGACCUGGUCAGCCCAGACUGGAGGAGUGCCCCAAACCAGUCCAGUGUCCACUUGACAAAAUUUCAGCUCCUUUUUUCUGUGGUGAGGCAAAGGCUAGAAAUAAAAUGGAAUCCGCGCCCAAGUGGGACCCAAGCAGGCAUCUUUCAGUGGAGAAACGCCUCCCAGUGUCCUUGACACAGCUGACUGCUGGCAUGAGCCCACCCUCUGCCUGAAGAUGCGGGACCAUUUUUGCCUUAAAAGUUGGGGAGGAGGGACAUGUAGAUUGUGUGCAUUGUGCAUAGUCAAGGAAAUCCUAGGGCCACCUCCAGUUCAUUUGUGUGGGAACAAGGAUAUUUUAUAGAUACAAAUUAUUUUUAUGCUGUGUUGAAUUAAUCAAUUAGGAGAGGAAGGGGAAAUCACCUCCUUCAAACUUUUUAUCUGAUUGUCUAAAAUUCUAACCAUGCUUUUAACUUAUUAUUUUUACCCAGCUCUGAAGGUCAUUGUUCUUGCCUGUGUUUGAAUAAAAUCAUAUUGGUGUUUGUAA